This is a long non-coding RNA of Aedes aegypti (yellow fever mosquito), 623 nucleotides long. RefSeq lists it as uncharacterized. NCBI's taxonomy places the organism in Eukaryota, Metazoa, Arthropoda, Insecta, Diptera, Culicidae. The transcript has 2 exons. The record is from RefSeq and is a predicted model, not a curated record.
GUUAGCACGAUUAGACGUGUUAGUUUUAGUAGUAAGAAGUUUAGGCCGAAAUAGUUUUACCCGCGGAUUGUUUGAUGUGGCAAACUUUCCGACCAAAACGCUAAGCGUCACGACACACACUAUAUAUGCAAAUUUGCAACAUUUUGCUGCAAACUGUCAUGUUUAUUUUGUUCGAUCCAGUCAGAGUAAUUAAGAAUCAAGUUUAAGUGAAGUUAUUUAGUACUAUAAUACGAUAAAAUAGAUCCUGUUUCCUCUUCGGGAACACCUGAAAAUCCAUAAGAUCCGCAUUCCGACCGGGUUCCGCAUUUCGAUGGAUGGUGCGAAUUUGCAUCCGUGAGCUGUUACUACUGGAGUGCAUUUGACGAAUCCUUGUCAAUGAUCGCCUGUAAAUUGAGUGACUGCAGUGUGAAUGCGUAGGUCAAUAUUCCGCCGGAAAGAAAAUGGAUUCAGACCAAAGAUCAAGCUCAACAGCGGAUGUUUUUUGGAUGGGCUGAUUUGUAUGUUGUAAAAAUGUUAUGAAAAUGAGCAUAUUCUGAUUGAAAUGUUGUGAAAAAUGGUGCUUGAUUUAUUUGUAUAACUUUAUCGCGUAAUGUCUCAAAUAAAAUUUAAUAUAAUACAAUCGA